RNAcentral lists this ribosomal RNA (1097 nucleotides) under Escherichia coli. RNAcentral describes it as "partial 23S ribosomal RNA". It matches the Rfam family "Bacterial large subunit ribosomal RNA", at positions 430 to 1529 of the family's 2925-position model. The record is from RNAcentral. Lineage: Bacteria; Pseudomonadati; Pseudomonadota; Gammaproteobacteria; Enterobacterales; Enterobacteriaceae.
UAUCCUGUCUGAAUAUGGGGGGACCAUCCUCCAAGGCUAAAUACUCCUGACUGACCGAUAGUGAACCAGUACCGUGAGGGAAAGGCGAAAAGAACCCCGGCGAGGGGAGUGAAAAAGAACCUGAAACCGUGUACGUACAAGCAGUGGGAGCACAGAGCAAUCUGUGUGACUGCGUACCUUUUGUAUAAUGGGUCAGCGACUUAUAUUCUGUAGCAAGGUUAACCGAAUAGGGGAGCCGAAGGGAAACCGAGUCUUAACUGGGCGUUAAGUUGCAGGGUAUAGACCCGAAACCCGGUGAUCUAGCCAUGGGCAGGUUGAAGGUUGGGUAACACUAACUGGAGGACCGAACCGACUAAUGUUGAAAAAUUAGCGGAUGACUUGUGGCUGGGGGUGAAAGGCCAAUCAAACCGGGAGAUAGCUGGUUCUCCCCGAAAGCUAUUUAGGUAGCGCCUCGUGAAUUCAUCUCCGGGGGUAGAGCACUGUUUCGGCAAGGGGGUCAUCCCGACUUACCAACCCGAUGCAAACUGCGAAUACCGGAGAAUGUUAUCACGGGAGACACACGGCGGGUGCUAACGUCCGUCGUGAAGAGGGAAACAACCCAGACCGCCAGCUAAGGUCCCAAAGUCAUGGUUAAGUGGGAAACGAUGUGGGAAGGCCCAGACAGCCAGGAUGUUGGCUUAGAAGCAGCCAUCAUUUAAAGAAAGCGUAAUAGCUCACUGGUCGAGUCGGCCUGCGCGGAAGAUGUAACGGGGCUAAACCAUGCACCGAAGCUGCGGCAGCGACGCUUAUGCGUUGUUGGGUAGGGGAGCGUUCUGUAAGCCUGCGAAGGUGUGCUGUGAGGCAUGCUGGAGGUAUCAGAAGUGCGAAUGCUGACAUAAGUAACGAUAAAGCGGGUGAAAAGCCCGCUCGCCGGAAGACCAAGGGUUCCUGUCCAACGUUAAUCGGGGCAGGGUGAGUCGACCCCUAAGGCGAGGCCGAAAGGCGUAGUCGAUGGGAAACAGGUUAAUAUUCCUGUACUUGGUGUUACUGCGAAGGGGGGACGGAGAAGGCUAUGUUGGCCGGGCGACGGUUGUCCCGGUUUAAGCGUGUAGGCUGGU